UUACGGCCACAUCACGCUGAAGUAGCGGUUCCCAUACGAUUACCGAAGUUAAGCAAUGUUGAUCAUGGUCAGUACCUGUGGGUGACCGUUGCGGAAUACCAAGUGCUGUAA
Molecule: non-coding RNA, 111 nt
Organism: Acanthosepion pharaonis
Lineage: Eukaryota; Metazoa; Mollusca; Cephalopoda; Sepiida; Sepiidae
Source: the annotation of a GenBank genome assembly